UACGGAGGGUGCGAGCGUUGUCCGGAAUCAUUGGGCGUAAAGGGCGCGUAGGUGGCCCGGUCAGUCUUUGGUGAAAGCGCGGGGCUCAACCCUGCGUCGGCCAGGGAUACUGCCGCGGCUGGAGCACUGUAGAGGCAGGCGGAAUUCCGGUGGUAGCGGUGGAAUGCGUAGAGAUCCGGAAGAACACCGGUGGCGAAGGCGGCCUGCUGGGCAGCGACUGACGCUGAGACGCGAAAGCGUGGGGAGCAAACAGG
RNAcentral lists this ribosomal RNA (254 nucleotides) under uncultured bacterium. RNAcentral's name for it is "partial 16S ribosomal RNA". It matches the Rfam family "Bacterial small subunit ribosomal RNA", at positions 524 to 776 of the family's 1533-position model. The record is from RNAcentral.